UAUAACAAUCGAAACCGCAGGGUUUUGAUUUGAAAGGCGCUUUCGGGUGUCGCUAAUGGAUGGACCCGCGGUGCACUAGCUUGUUUGUGAGGUAACGGCUCACCAGGGCCACGAUGCAGAGCCAACGUGAGAGGGUGAUCGGCCACAUCGGGACUGACACACGGCCCAUACUCCGACGGGAGGCAGCAGUGGGGAAUCUACGGCAAUGGACGAAAGUCUGACCGAGCAACGCCUCGGGAGUGAAGAACGUUUUCGGAUCGUAAAACUCUAUUGUUAGAGAACAACAAGGAUGAGAGUAACUGUUCAUCCCUUGACGGUUCUAACCAGAAUCCACGGCGACUACCUGCCAGCGCCGCGGUAAUACGUACGUAGCAAGCGUUGUCCGGAUUUAUUGGGCGUAAAGCGAGCGCAUGCCGUUUCUUAAGUCUGAUGUGAAAGCCCCCGGCUCGCCGGGGAGGGUCAUUGGAAACUGGGAGACUUGAGUGCAGAACACGAGAGUGGAAUUCCAUGUGUAGCGAUGAAAUGCGUAGAUUGGGAGGAACACCAGUGGCGAACGCAGCUCUCUAGUCUGUAACUGACGCUCAGGACUCGAAAGCGUGCGGAGCAAACAGGAUUACAUACCCUGGUUGUCCACGUCAUAGACUGAUCAGUGCUAACUGUUGUACGGUUUCCGCCCUUUCAUUGCUGCAGCUCCGCAAUA
Molecule: ribosomal RNA, 700 nt
Filed under: Enterococcus durans
Lineage: Bacteria; Bacillati; Bacillota; Bacilli; Lactobacillales; Enterococcaceae
Description: bacterial SSU rRNA
Rfam family: Bacterial small subunit ribosomal RNA
Source: RNAcentral